Molecule: long non-coding RNA, 1247 nt
Organism: Rosa rugosa (rugosa rose)
Lineage: Eukaryota; Viridiplantae; Streptophyta; Magnoliopsida; Rosales; Rosaceae
Exons: 2
Source: RefSeq, a predicted model, not a curated record
GUGAUUAUCCGGGAUGUACUCUAUGAGGAUUCUUGUACUACUGCUAGAGGUCAAGGUCACAUAUCCUCCUCUAUGCUUAUUUCUAAUAUUAAUAUAAUAAGUCAGGCGUGGAGAUGAGCCUCCCAGCUUGGCUGGGUUCCAAACCCCUUCAAAAAAAAAAAAAAAUCAAUCCAACUUAGGCCCAGUUUGGGAUUGAUUCCUAAAUUGCUUUUGGGAUCAAAAGUGCUUUUGGGUCUAUUGUAGGCUGUUAGGUAAAAUCCUUGAUAUCAGCUUUUGGUCACUCUAGCUUCUUCCAACAGCGGAAAUUGAGAAGCUACAUUUCGUAGCUUUUGAAAACAGCUUCUGCGGGAAGAAUGAAAAACACGGAGAAAUUAAUGAAUUGCCUCGCCUCUAUUACUGAUCGCCUUCUCCUCCUCCUUCUUUUGCUGUCGCUGAAAAAAUUUGAGCAGCAUCAUUUAUCCUUAUCAGAAAAUUGAGAGAGGACUUCCACUUCUGAUCACCUUUUGAAGAGCAUUCAGCCUCAUUUCAGGCACAAAUACAGUACAGGCAUUUGGUUUGUGAAAGCUUACAAAUUUGAAAUUUCCCAUGAAUCCGAGUUUACCCAGAAAAACAAGCCCAGACCCAGUUUGAGAAAUGCACGAUUUCUGCUUCACGAUCCUCUACAGGUUGUUGCUGGUGGGUGGAGGAAUAUUUGGGCAUUUCAGAAAGUGGAACACAACUUCUCUGUUUGAAGGUCUAGGCAUUGGAUUGGUUCUCACUGUUGCUAGCAAUCUCAGUCUCCAAGCCUUUCAUAAGACUUGCUCUAAUUCUUGAAACAGGAUGCUUGCAAUUUUUCUGGCGUUGAGGGCAUCAGAGAGUUUUGUUACUCUAGAAGUUACAAGGUGAUGCAUUUAUGUGAUCAUGACAUGAAAGAGAAGCUGUCCAUGAUUUGAGUUGUGAGGAUCCUAUCUCCAAGAUCCAAUUUGUUAACCAGCAACAACUUUGAGGCGGUGUUUUAGUGCAAAACUCAAAGAAAAGGCAAUGGAACUCAUUCUUUGAAUCUGUUACGUUAGGCAACCUUCAUUUUUGAAGGUCUUCCUCAGCUAGAUAGAUUUUCUUGAAUAAUUUAUCUUUUCAUGAUGUUGUUAAUUGAGAACUUGGGGGGAUUCUAAUCAAGCAAGUUUUAUUUUUUUUUUUCUUAUGAGACUACGGUUUUCCCAUUUGUAUCAUACAAGCUUCUUAAUGAGAUUCCUCUCCAUUAGAAGUAC